AUGCAUCACACACCUCAUGUGGAUCUAGCUUUCAACAGCGUAGAACACAUUAUGAGAGAUGUUGAAGGGGGCUGGUUGCUCCGUUAUAUGCAUGCUAAUGGGGCAGGUAUGUUUCUCAUUGUGGUUCACCUUCAUAUUUUUCGUGGUCUAUAUCAUGCGAGUUAUAGCAGUCCUAGGGAAUUUGUUCGGUGUCUCGGAGUUGUCAUAUUCCUAUUAAUGAUUGUGACAGCUUUUAUAGGAUACGUACCACCUUGGGGUCAGAUGAGCUUUUGGGGAGCAACAGUAAUUACAAGCUUAGCUAGCGCCAUACCAGUAGUAGGAGAUACCAUAGUGACUUGGCUUUGGGGUGGUUUCUCCGUGGACAAUGCCACCUUAAAUCGUUUUUUUAGUCUCCAUCAUUUACUCCCCCUUAUUUUAGUAGGCGCCAGUCUUCUUCAUCUGGCCGCAUUGCAUCAAUAUGGAUCAAAUAAUCCAUUGGGUGUACAUUCUGAGAUGGAUAAAAUUGCUUCUUACCCUUAUUUUUAUGUAAAGGAUCUUGUAGGUCGAGUAGUUUCUGCUAUCCUUUUUUCCAUUUGGAUUUUUUUUGCUCCUAAUGUUUUGGGGCAUCCCGACAAUUAUAUACCUGCUAAUCCGAUGCCCACCCUGCCUCAUAUUGUGCCGGAAUGGUAUUUCCUACCGAUCCAUGCCAUUCUUCACAGUAUACCUGACAAAGUGGGAGGUGUAGCCGCAAUAGCACCAGUUUUUAUAUCUCUCUUGGCUUUACCUUUUUUUUAA
This 774-nucleotide ribosomal RNA is filed under the name Triticum aestivum (bread wheat). RNAcentral's name for it is "partial small subunit ribosomal RNA". The record is from RNAcentral. Lineage: Eukaryota; Viridiplantae; Streptophyta; Magnoliopsida; Poales; Poaceae.